RNAcentral lists this ribosomal RNA (1190 nucleotides) under uncultured Cobetia sp. RNAcentral's name for it is "bacterial SSU rRNA". It matches the Rfam family "Bacterial small subunit ribosomal RNA", at positions 122 to 1266 of the family's 1533-position model. Lineage: Bacteria; Pseudomonadati; Pseudomonadota; Gammaproteobacteria; Oceanospirillales; Halomonadaceae. The record is from RNAcentral.
CGGGCCUAUCGAAGGUGGGGGAACCUGGGGAACUCAGGCUAAUACCGCAUACGUCCUACGGGAGAAAGCAGGGGAACUUCGGACCUUGCGCUAUCGGAUGAGCCCAUGUCGGAUUAGCUUGUUGGUGAGGUAAUGGCUCACCAAGGCGACGAUCCGUAGCUGGUCUGAGAGGAUGAUCAGCCACACUGGGACUGAGACACGGCCCAGACUCCUACGGGAGGCAGCAGUGGGGAAUAUUGGACAAUGGGCGAAAGCCUGAUCCAGCCAUGCCGCGUGUGUGAAGAAGGCCUUUGGGUUGUAAAGCACUUUCAGCGAGGAAGAACGCCUUGGGAUUAAUACUCCCGAGGAAAGACAUCACUCGCAGAAGAAGCACCGGCUAACUCCGUGCCAGCAGCCGCGGUAAUACGGAGGGUGCAAGCGUUAAUCGGAAUUACUGGGCGUAAAGCGCGCGUAGGUGGCUAAGUCAGCCAGGUGUGAAAGCCCCGGGCUCAACCUGGGAACGGCAUCUGGAACUGCUUGGCUAGAGUGCAGGAGAGGAAGGUAGAAUUCCCGGUGUAGCGGUGAAAUGCGUAGAGAUCGGGAGGAAUACCAGUGGCGAAGGCGGCCUUCUGGACUGACACUGACACUGAGGUGCGAAAGCGUGGGUAGCAAACAGGAUUAGAUACCCUGGUAGUCCACGCCGUAAACGAUGUCAACUAGCCGUUGGGUCCCUUGAGGACUUAGUGGCGCAGCUAACGCAAUAAGUUGACCGCCUGGGGAGUACGGCCGCAAGGUUAAAACUCCAAAUGAAUUUGACGGGGGCCCCGCCACAAGGCGGGUGGAGCAUGGUGGUUUAAUUUCGAUGCAACGCGAAGGAACCCUUACCUACCCUUUGACAUCCAGAGGACUUUCCAGAAGAUGGGAUUGGUUGCCUUCGGGAACUUCUGAAACAGGUGCCUGCAAUGGCCUUGUCGUCAGCUCGUGGUUGUGGGAAAAUGGUUGGGUUUAAGUUCCCGUAACGGAGCGCCAACCCCCUUAUUCCCUUAUUGGCCCAGCCGAGGUAAUGUCCGGGAACUUCUAAAGGAACUGGCCGGGUGACCAAUCGGAGGAAGGGUGGGGAAUAGGACUUCAAGUCCAUCUAUGGCCUUUACCGCCCUGUGCUCACACUGGUCUUCAACUGUUCGUCAAAGGUUGCAGACCCUUAAGGGUGA